This 381-nucleotide unclassified non-coding RNA is filed under the name fungal sp. RNAcentral describes it as "partial internal transcribed spacer region". The stretch from base 1 to 46 matches the Rfam family "Eukaryotic small subunit ribosomal RNA", at positions 1786 to 1831 of the family's 1831-position model. Lineage: Eukaryota; Fungi. The record is from RNAcentral.
AAGUCGUAACGAGGUUUCCGUAGGUGAACCUGCGGAAGGAUCAUUAACACGUAUCCCAACCGCGUAGUUCGCAAUCUCUGAUAAAUCAUAGCCCGGAAAGUUGUAGUGAUUCAGAGACCUCUGGCUACGUGCGAACAUUGGAACAGUUACAAUCGAGCGGUAGUUCUAUAGGCAAUGUUUCUCCAAGCAGUCAGUGUCGGAAAGUGUCAUUGAUUGUGCAAGGAUAGCGCUUCUACGAUUCCUGUAGACCGUACACUCGGGCAGGAGCUUUGCCAAAGGGUCCCCAUGCCCCCUAAUAACCCCACAGUUUAAUGUGAAGCUCAAUGUAAUACAUUGGGUAAAAAAACCGAACAACUGUUAACAAUGGAUAUCUUGGUUCUC